This 296-nucleotide long non-coding RNA is filed under the name Gossypium barbadense (sea-island cotton). RNAcentral's name for it is "long non-coding RNA (GBAR_LNC007032)". Lineage: Eukaryota; Viridiplantae; Streptophyta; Magnoliopsida; Malvales; Malvaceae. The record is from RNAcentral.
AAGAAACUAUACUUUUGUAAAUGAAUGUGGGGGAAAUUGGCAAAAUUCAAUUAAUAAGGAGAAGACAACAGAUUGAUGUCAAAUUCUGGCUAAAGAGAACCAAAACUGGGAAAAAUUAACAACAACCCAAUAUCAGUAAAUGGCAGAAAAACAAAAAAGUUAACUUAAAAAAAAUGACCUACACCUGAGAGAAGUGGUAUUGAUUCUUGAAAAUGAAAUAAUACUUAUGUAUAAUUAGUCUGUAAUUUUAAGCCUAACAAUUGACUGUUAAUAUAGUAAUUGACACUUUAGGGAAG